UACGUAGGUGGCGAGCGUUGUCCGGAUUUACUGGGCGUAAAGGGAGCGUAGGCGGACUUUUAAGUGAGAUGUGAAAUACUCGGGCUCAACUUGAGUGCUGCAUUUCAAACUGGAGGUCUAGAGUGCAGGAGAGGAGAAUGGAAUUCCUAGUGUAGCGGUGAAAUGCGUAGAGAUUAGGAAGAACACCAGUGGCGAAGGCGAUUCUCUGGACUGUAACUGACGCUGAGGCUCGAAAGCGUGGGGAGCAAACAGG
This 253-nucleotide ribosomal RNA is filed under the name uncultured bacterium. Its description in RNAcentral is "partial 16S ribosomal RNA". It matches the Rfam family "Bacterial small subunit ribosomal RNA", at positions 524 to 776 of the family's 1533-position model. The record is from RNAcentral.